GACAACACAACCUUAACAUAUCAGCAGGGUCAAACAAUCAAACAGAUUUCAAUAAUCUUUUUGAUCAGUUUACCAAAUUCAUGCAAACACAAGAGGCUCGGUCCACAUCCAAAGUGGACCCAGGACAAGUUGACAGGAAUGAAGAUUGGUGAAGGACAACUUGUCAACGAUAUUUAUAUUGUUGAUCUUUCUAGAUGUGCUUUCAAUUCAUACACUAAUUUUGAGCAAGAUUUAUGGCAUCAAAGGCUAGGACAUCCUUCUAAUAAAGUUGUAAAACAUCUUUUUCGAAUA
This is a long non-coding RNA of Impatiens glandulifera, 291 nucleotides long. RefSeq lists it as uncharacterized. NCBI's taxonomy places the organism in Eukaryota, Viridiplantae, Streptophyta, Magnoliopsida, Ericales, Balsaminaceae. The transcript is spliced from 2 exons. The record is from RefSeq and is a predicted model, not a curated record.